GAUGAAGAACGCAGCGAAAUGCGAUAAGUAGUGUGAAUUGCAGAAUUCAGUGAAUCAUCGAAUCUUUGAACGCACAUUGGGCCCCCUGGUAUUCCGGGGGGCAUGCCUGUCCGAGCGUCAUUGCUGCCCUCAAGCACGGCUUGUGUGUUGGGCCUCCGUCCUCCUCCCGGGGGACGGGCCCGAAAGGCAGCGGCGGCACCGCGUCCGGUCCUCGAGCGUAUGGGGCUUCGUCACCCGCUCUUGUAGGCCCGGCCGGCGCUUGCCGACACAUCAAUCUUUUUUCCAGGUUGACCUCGGAUCAGGUAGGGAUACCCGCUGAACUUAAGCAUAUCAAUAAGCGGAGGA
RNAcentral lists this unclassified non-coding RNA (345 nucleotides) under soil metagenome. Its description in RNAcentral is "partial contains 5.8S ribosomal RNA, internal transcribed spacer 2, and large subunit ribosomal RNA". The stretch from base 1 to 120 matches the Rfam family "5.8S ribosomal RNA", at positions 35 to 154 of the family's 154-position model. The record is from RNAcentral.